RNAcentral lists this ribosomal RNA (688 nucleotides) under Enterococcus sp. UepopsW3-21.406. RNAcentral's name for it is "bacterial SSU rRNA". It matches the Rfam family "Bacterial small subunit ribosomal RNA", at positions 1 to 662 of the family's 1533-position model. The record is from RNAcentral. Lineage: Bacteria; Bacillati; Bacillota; Bacilli; Lactobacillales; Enterococcaceae.
UUUAGAGNUUUGAUUCCCUGCUCAGGACGAACGCUGGCGGCGUGCCUAAUACAUGCAAGUCGAACGCUUCUUUUUCCACCGGAGCUUGCUCCACCGGAAAAAGAGGAGUGGCGAACGGGUGAGUAACACGUGGGUAACCUGCCCAUCAGAAGGGGAUAACACUUGGAAACAGGUGCUAAUACCGUAUAACAAUCAAAACCGCAUGGUUUUGAUUUGAAAGGCGCUUUCGGGUGUCGCUGAUGGAUGGACCCGCGGUGCAUUAGCUAGUUGGUGAGGUAACGGCUCACCAAGGCCACGAUGCAUAGCCGACCUGAGAGGGUGAUCGGCCACAUUGGGACUGAGACACGGCCCAAACUCCUACGGGAGGCAGCAGUAGGGAAUCUUCGGCAAUGGACGAAAGUCUGACCGAGCAACGCCGCGUGAGUGAAGAAGGUUUUCGGAUCGUAAAACUCUGUUGUUAGAGAAGAACAAGGAUGAGAGUAACUGUUCAUCCCUUGACGGUAUCUAACCAGAAAGCCACGGCUAACUACGUGCCAGCAGCCGCGGUAAUACGUAGGUGGCAAGCGUUGUCCGGAUUUAUUGGGCGUAAAGCGAGCGCAGGCGGUUUCUUAAGUCUGAUGUGAAAGCCCCCGGCUCAACCGGGGAGGGUCAUUGGAAACUGGGAGACUUGAGUGCAGAAGUGAGANGU